UACGUAGGGUGCAAGCGUUAAUCGGAAUUACUGGGCGUAAAGCGUGCGCAGGCGGUUUUUUAAGCCAGAUGUGAAAUCCCCGAGCUUAACUUGGGAACUGCAUUUGGGACUGGAAGGCUAGAGUACGGCAGAGGGGGGCGGAAUUCCACGUGUAGCAGUGAAAUGCGUAGAGAUGUGGAGGAACACCGAUGGCGAAGGCAACCCCCUGGGCCUGUACUGACGCUCAUGCACGAAAGCGUGGGGAGCAGACAGG
RNAcentral lists this ribosomal RNA (253 nucleotides) under uncultured bacterium. RNAcentral's name for it is "partial 16S ribosomal RNA". It matches the Rfam family "Bacterial small subunit ribosomal RNA", at positions 524 to 776 of the family's 1533-position model. The record is from RNAcentral.